GAUGAAGAACGCAGCGAAAUGCGAUAAGUAAUGUGAAUUGCAGAAUUCCGUGAAUCAUCGAAUCUUUGAACGCACAUUGCGCCCCCUGGCAUUCCGGGGGGCAUGCCUGUCCGAGCGUCAUUUCUGCCCUCAAGCACGGCUUGUGUGUUGGGUGUGGUCCCCCCGGGGACCUGCCCGAAAGGCAGCGGCGACGUCCGUCUGGUCCUCGAGCGUAUGGGGCUCUGUCACUCGCUCGGGAAGGACCUGCGGGGGUUGGUCACCACUAUAUUUUACCACGGUUGACCUCGGAUCAGGUAGGAGUUACCCGCUGAAAUUAAGCAUAUCAAUAAGCGGAGGA
RNAcentral lists this unclassified non-coding RNA (337 nucleotides) under soil metagenome. RNAcentral describes it as "partial contains 5.8S ribosomal RNA, internal transcribed spacer 2, and large subunit ribosomal RNA". The stretch from base 1 to 120 matches the Rfam family "5.8S ribosomal RNA", at positions 35 to 154 of the family's 154-position model. The record is from RNAcentral.